Molecule: ribosomal RNA, 301 nt
Filed under: uncultured bacterium
Lineage: Bacteria
Description: partial 16S ribosomal RNA
Rfam family: Bacterial small subunit ribosomal RNA
Source: RNAcentral
CAGCAGCCGCGGUAAUACGUAGGGUGCGAGCGUUAAUCGGAAUUACUGGGCGUAAAGCGUGCGCAGGCGGUUGUGUAAGACAGGUGUGAAAUCCCCGGGCUUAACCUGGGAACUGCGCUUGUGACUGCACAGCUAGAGUAUGGCAGAGGGGGGUGGAAUUCCACGUGUAGCAGUGAAAUGCGUAGAGAUGUGGAGGAACACCGACGGCGAAGGCAGCCCCCUGGGCCAAUACUGACGCUCAUGCACGAAAGCGUGGGGAGCAAACAGGAUUAGAUACCCCCGUAGUCCCUGUCUCUUAUAC